This 140-nucleotide small nuclear RNA is filed under the name Fukomys damarensis (Damara mole-rat). RNAcentral's name for it is "U2 spliceosomal RNA". It matches the Rfam family "U2 spliceosomal RNA". Rfam says of the family: U2 is a small nuclear RNA (snRNA) component of the spliceosome (involved in pre-mRNA splicing). Lineage: Eukaryota; Metazoa; Chordata; Mammalia; Rodentia; Bathyergidae. The record is from Rfam by way of RNAcentral.
GUUGCUUCUUGGCCUUUUGGCUAAGAUCAAGUGUAAAACAUUUAGAUAAGAACUAUUCCCACUACUUUUUAAACUUUUCAAUGAAAUUGAAAGGGAAGCAAUAUUUCCAAAUUCAUUCCUAGAAGCAAGUGUUACUUUGA